This 468-nucleotide ribosomal RNA is filed under the name uncultured Glomus. RNAcentral describes it as "SSU rRNA". It matches the Rfam family "Eukaryotic small subunit ribosomal RNA", at positions 569 to 1039 of the family's 1831-position model. Lineage: Eukaryota; Fungi; Glomeromycota; Glomeromycetes; Glomerales; Glomeraceae. The record is from RNAcentral.
AGCAGCCGCGGUAAUUCCAGCUCCAAUAGCGUAUAUUAAAGUUGUUGCAGUUAAAAAGCUCGUAGUUGAAUUUCGGGGUUAGUAGGUUGGUCAUGCCUCUGGUAUGUACUGGUCUCACUGAUUCCUCCUUCCUGAUGAGCCGUAAUGCCAUUAAUUUGGUGUUGCGGGGAAUUUGGACUGUUACUUUGAAAAAAUUAGAGUGUUUAAAGCAGGCAUUUUGCUUGAAUACAUUAGCAUGGAAUAAUAAAAUAGGACGGCAUGGUUCUAUUUUGUUGGUUUCUAGGACCACCGUAAUGAUUAAUAGGGAUAGUUGGGGCAUUAGUAUUCAAUUGUCAGAGGUGAAAUUCUUGGAUUUAUUGAAGACUAACUACUGCGAAAGCAUUUGCCAAGGAUGUUUUCAUUAAUCAAGAACGAAAGUUAGGGGAUCGAAGACGAUCAGAUACCGUCGUAGUCUUAACCGAUAAACUU